AAUCAACGCUGGCGGCGUGCCUCAGACAUGCAAGUCGAACGAUUAAACUUCUCUUCGGAGAAGAUAUAAAGUGGCGCACGGGUGAGUAACACGUAGGUAAUGUACCUUUGGGUGGGGAAUAACUUAGGGAAACUUAAGCUAAUACCGCAUAAUGCAGCGGCUCCUUCGGGAGACAGUUGUUAAAGAUUUAUCGCCUAAAGAGCAGCCUGCGGCAGAUUAGCUAGUUGGUAAGGUAACGGCUACCAAGGCUACGAUCUGUAUCCGACCUGAGAGGGUGGUCGGGACACACUGACACUGAAUAACGGGUCAGACUCCUACGGGAGGCAGCAGUCGGGAA
Molecule: ribosomal RNA, 337 nt
Filed under: uncultured bacterium
Lineage: Bacteria
Description: bacterial SSU rRNA
Rfam family: Bacterial small subunit ribosomal RNA
Source: RNAcentral